Molecule: ribosomal RNA, 350 nt
Filed under: uncultured bacterium
Lineage: Bacteria
Description: bacterial SSU rRNA
Rfam family: Bacterial small subunit ribosomal RNA
Source: RNAcentral
GGGCCCGCACAAGCGGUGGAGCAUGUGGUUUAAUUCGAUGCAACGCGAAAAACCUUACCUACUCUUGACAUACUUGGGAGCUCUUGUAAUGAGAGUGUGCCUUUUGGAACCAAGAUACAGGUGCUGCAUGGCUGUCGUCAGCUCGUGUCGUGAGAUGUUCCGUUAAGUCGGAUAACGAGCGCAACCCUUACCCUUAUUUGCCAGCGAUUCGGUCGGAACUAUAAGGGGACUGCCGGUGAUAAACCGGAGGAAGGUGAGGACGACGUCAAGUCAUCAUGGCCCUUACGAGUAGGGCUACACACGUGCUACAAUGGGGAAUACAGACGGACGCUAAGCCGCGAGGUGGUGCU